AAUUUUGUGUGUGUGUGAUGGAGUCAGGGUUUUGGAACUGUGACCUCUCUUUUUGUGUUUCAGAACUGGUCUCUCCUACUGUGGGUUUUUUUUAAAGAUUGGCACCUGAGCUAACAUCUGUUGCCAAUCUUUUUUUUUUUCCUUCUUCUUCUUCUCCCCAAAGCUCCCCCAGCACAUGGUUGUGUAUUCUAGUUGUGAGUGCCUAUGGUUGUGCUGUGUGGGACGUGCCUCAGCAUGGCUUGAUGAGGGUGCCAUGUCCGCGCACAGGAUCCGAACCAGCGAAACCCUGGGCUGCUGAAGUGGAGCGCGCGAACUUAACUGCUCGGCCACGGGGCUGGCCCCUGUGGCUUUUUCUUUUUACAAAGGUAUUCUUUUACAUUCAGACGUGGAGCACGAACUCUACCAGGCCCUCUGAUAAGGGAAGAAUACACAGGAAAAUGCAGAUUCUGAUGAAUAAGGACUGAGACACAACACAAAGCGUCCUCUGGGGCCGUGCGGAAUCCCUGCCCAUUCGAUACAGAAGCCAUCUACGUGUCUAAAGACAGCUCUGUCAUCCUACAGAUUCUACUCAGCUCUCAGGCCCCAUGAUGCUUCUUUGGAAUCUUCAAAACUCAUCAUUCAAGCAGGUGGUGGGCUAUGUGGUAUAAUUUCCAGUGUCCUGAGCACUACACCCUCAAAAUGCUUCACAUGCCUUGUUCUCUGAUGCCUGCGUUGUGCAGCUGGAACUUCAGUCAUUGGUGAAAGUCAAACAGAAAAUGAAGUUGGAACCUUCUUGGAAAAGCUAACGCACACAGCCUUCUGAAUAAUUUUUACCUGUUUUUGGGAAA
RNAcentral lists this long non-coding RNA (827 nucleotides) under Equus caballus (horse). Its description in RNAcentral is "lncRNA (ENSECAG00000046873.1)". The record is from RNAcentral. Lineage: Eukaryota; Metazoa; Chordata; Mammalia; Perissodactyla; Equidae.